Molecule: ribozyme, 302 nt
Organism: Sinocyclocheilus grahami
Lineage: Eukaryota; Metazoa; Chordata; Actinopteri; Cypriniformes; Cyprinidae
Rfam family: Nuclear RNase P
About the family: Ribonuclease P (RNase P) is a ubiquitous endoribonuclease, found in archaea, bacteria and eukarya as well as chloroplasts and mitochondria.
Source: Ensembl
GCGGUGGGAAGUUCACUGUAGAGGUUACAAUCUGAGUGUUGAUAGAUCAUCCAAUCACUUCGGGGAAGGCGUGAGACAAGAGCCAAUCGCUGUCUUCACAGGACAUCAUCUGAACAGGUGAGCGCGUGCACAGGAAAGAGGGGUCAGAAUGCGGUGUUCACGCACAAGGCGGUGGUACGCAGAAUAGCGAACCAACUGAUGCGAACCCCGUUGACUUGGAAACACUCGCGGCUGGCGCAAUCAGUUCAAUGUGUGAACUGGCACAAGGUGCUAGAACCCAAUUCAGACUACUCUCCUACCAC